UACGUAGGGGGCUAGCGUUGUCCGGAAUUAUUGGGCGUAAAGAGCGUGUAGGCGGUCCGGUAAGUCAGCUGUGAAAGUCAAGGGCUCAACCCUUGAAUGCCGGUUGAUACUGUCGGGCUAGAGUCCGGAAGAGGCGAGUGGAAUUCCCGGUGUAGCGGUGAAAUGCGCAGAUAUCGGGAGGAACACCAAUGGCGAAGGCAGCUCGCUGGGACGGUACUGACGCUGAGACGCGAAAGCGUGGGGAGCAAACAGG
This 253-nucleotide ribosomal RNA is filed under the name uncultured bacterium. RNAcentral's name for it is "partial 16S ribosomal RNA". It matches the Rfam family "Bacterial small subunit ribosomal RNA", at positions 524 to 776 of the family's 1533-position model. The record is from RNAcentral.